AAUCAACGCUGGCGGCGUGCCUCAGACAUGCAAGUCGAACGAUUAAGACUCUCUUCGGAGAGUGUAUAAAGUGGCGCACGGGUGAGUAACACGUAGGUAAUGUACCGAAGGGUGGGGAAUAACUUAGGGAAACUUAAGCUAAUACCGCAUAAUGCAGCGGCUCGACAUCGAGACAGUUGUUAAAGGAGCAAUCCGCCUUUUGAGCAGCCUGCGGCAGAUUAGCUAGUUGGUAAGGUAAUGGCUUACCAAGGCUACGAUCUGUAACCGACCUGAGAGGGUGGUCGGUCACACUGACACUGAAUAACGGGUCAGACUCCUACGGGAGGCAGCAGUCGGGAAUUUUGGGCAAUGGGCGAAAGCCUGACCCAGCAACGCCGCGUGAAGGAUGAAGUAUUUCGGUAUGUAAACUUCGAAAGAAUAGGAAGAAUAAAUGACGGUACUAUUUAUAAGGUCCGGCUAACUACGUGCCAGCAGCCGCGGUAAU
Molecule: ribosomal RNA, 484 nt
Filed under: uncultured bacterium
Lineage: Bacteria
Description: bacterial SSU rRNA
Rfam family: Bacterial small subunit ribosomal RNA
Source: RNAcentral